AAACCCAUCCAACUAGCAGUUCAAAGGCACGAGAGAAGCUUGGGGCCUAAGUGCACCCCAGCCAUGGCGCAGCGGGAUCUGGGGCAGAGUGAAAUGGACAUCUAUGCUCAGCUCAGCCUAGAACGUGAUCCUGGUCAUUGUCCUACAAAGGCUGUGUGUUUGGGGAGAGCUCUGAGAGCGCAGUGGAAAGGGAACUUGUUUGUCAGAGUCAAGAGUGACCCACUCCCUGGAACAGAACUGCCCUGGUUCUGGGUGGGCAUGGUGGAUGGAUCUCACCAGGGGACAGCAGCAGGUCCAGCCUGGUGCUUCCAUAGAAGGCUCCAGGCAGAGAAAAGAAGACCAAAGGUUGUAAAGGCAGCAUUAUUCAAGCACCUACUGCCUUUGUGGGCCUCUGGUGUAGUUUUAUUUUUUUCAUUGUCAUUCUCUGGUCUGUUUUCUGUUUUUGCUUUGCACUUCCUGCUUUUUUAUUAACCCAUACACAAUUACUUGUUGUCUGAUUUUACUGAAGCUACAAGUCAGACAAUAAAUACUUGCUGCAGUAAUGUCUGUCCAUGUGGCUGACUAUAAGCACUUCAGAAUAUGUUCAUCCAAAGGGCAUUUUUAAAUGAAGGUGAUUAAUUUCGCCAUUUUCGUUUAUCUUAUAGCAUUUCAGGACAGACAGCUUACCCCACCACCUCUUCUGUUUACUCUUCUUGGUGGUGGUGUAAGACUUCUUCUUUUCCUAACACCUCCACAAAGUCUCAACACAAGGAGAAGGAGAGAAAUACCAGCGAAGGCUGAAGUGCAGCCUGUCUGCCGUCAUGUUGCAAGAUGUCGGUGAGGCCAUUCAGUUCGAAGUCAGCAUCGGGAACUAUGGCAACAAGUUUGAUGCAACCUGUAACCCUUUGGCAUCAACAACUCAAUACAGCCGGGCAGUGUUUGAUGGUAA
Molecule: long non-coding RNA, 928 nt
Organism: Apodemus sylvaticus (European woodmouse)
Lineage: Eukaryota; Metazoa; Chordata; Mammalia; Rodentia; Muridae
Exons: 2
Source: RefSeq, a predicted model, not a curated record